GCCGACGACGUCGCGAGAAGUCCACUGAACCUUAUCAUUUAGAGGAAGGAGAAGUCGUAACAAGGUUUCCGUAGGUGAACCUGCGGAAGGAUCAUUGUCGAUGCCUGCAAAGCAGAACGACCCGCGAACUGUUUCUCAACACUCGGGGCACCGUGGGGCGUCUAGCUGCCCGUUGUCCCGACGCUCCGGACGCUGAGGGUGCGAGCCACCCCCAGCGGAUGGAGCAUCAAACACACCCCGGCGUGCAAAGCGCCAAGCUACUCUAACGGUAGGGCAACACCCGUGGGCCUGGACUACAGCGYGCUCGGGUGUCUGUUCGGUAUCAUAAAUCUAAACGACUCUCGGCAACGGAUAUCUCGGCUCUCGCAUCGAUGAAGAACGUAGCGAAAUGCGAUACUUGGUGUGAAUUGCAGAAUCCCGUGAACCAUCGAGUCUUUGAACGCAAGUUGCGCCCGAAGCCUCGGCUGAGGGCACGCCUGCCUGGGUGUCACACAUCACUCUGCCUCCAAACCCUUUCCCCUGGAGAUGGUUUGGCUGCGGAAGAUGGCCUCCCGUGACCACGUGCCACGGAUGGCCUAAAUUUUUGCUGGGGAAGCGAAGCGCCACGGCAUUCGGUGGACGGCAUAGCCCCCGAGGUAAUGAAGCCGUGGUGGCCGCUAGAGUCCCCAGUCCACGACCCUAAUCACUAACCAAUGCGACCUCAGGUCAGGCGGGGCUACCCGCUGAGUUUAAGCAUAUCAAUAAGCGGAGG
RNAcentral lists this ribosomal RNA (751 nucleotides) under Combretum padoides. RNAcentral's name for it is "eukaryotic LSU rRNA". The stretch from base 337 to 490 matches the Rfam family "5.8S ribosomal RNA". The record is from RNAcentral. Lineage: Eukaryota; Viridiplantae; Streptophyta; Magnoliopsida; Myrtales; Combretaceae.